UACGUAGGGUGCGAGCGUUGUCCGGAAUUAUUGAGCGUAAAGGGCUCGUAGGCGGUUUGUCGCGUCGGGAGUGAAAUCCACUGGCUUAACUGGUGGCUUGCUUUCGAUACGGGCAGACUGGAGGUAUGCAGGGGAGAACGGAAUUCCUGGUGUAGCGGUGAAAUGCGCAGAUAUCAGGAGGAACACCGGUGGCGAAGGCGGUUCUCUGGGCAUGUCCUGACGCUGAGGAGCGAAAGUGUGGGGAGCGAACAGG
RNAcentral lists this ribosomal RNA (253 nucleotides) under uncultured bacterium. RNAcentral describes it as "partial 16S ribosomal RNA". It matches the Rfam family "Bacterial small subunit ribosomal RNA", at positions 524 to 776 of the family's 1533-position model. The record is from RNAcentral.